Molecule: ribosomal RNA, 770 nt
Filed under: uncultured bacterium
Lineage: Bacteria
Description: bacterial SSU rRNA
Rfam family: Bacterial small subunit ribosomal RNA
Source: RNAcentral
AGAGUUUGAUCCUGGCUCAGGACGAACGCUGGCGGCGUGCUUAACACAUGCAAGUCGAGCGGAAAGGCCCUUCGGGGUACUCGAGCGGCGAACGGGUGAGUAACACGUGAGUAACCUGCCCCUGGCUCUGGGAUAGCCUCCGGAAACGGGGAUUAAUACCGGAUAUGACCCUUUUAGGCAUCUUUUUGGGUGGAAAGUUUUUCGGCUAGGGUGGGGCUCGCGGCCUAUCAGCUUGAUGGUGAGGUUACGGCUCACCAUGGCGACGACGGGUAGCCGGCCUGAGAGGGCGGGCGGCCACACUGGGACUGAGACACGGCCCAGACUCCUACGGGAGGCAGCAGUGGGGAAUAUUGCGCAAUGGGCGGAAGCCUGACGCAGCGACGCCGCGUGCGGGAUGAAGGCCUUCGGGUUGUAAACCGCUUUCACCAGGGACGAAGCUUGCGUGACGGUACCUGGGGAAGAAGCGCCGGCUAACUACGUGCCAGCAGCCGCGGUAAUACGUAGGGCGCGAGCGUUGUCCGGAAUUAUUGGGCGUAAAGAGCUCGUAGGCGGCUGGUUGCGUCUGCUGUGAAAUCCCGGGGCUUAACCCCGGGCGUGCAGUGGAUACGGGCCGGCUGGAGGCAGGCAGGGGAGAAUGGAAUUCCCGGUGUAGCGGUGAAAUGCGCAGAUAUCGGGAGGAACACCGGUGGCGAAGGCGGUUCUCUGGGCCUGUACUGACGCUGAGGAGCGAAAGCGUGGGGAGCGAACAGGAUUAGAUACCCCGGUAGUCC